UCCAUGUGGUCUAGUGGUUAGGAUUCCAGGCAUUCACCCAUGAGGCCUGGGUUCGAUUCUCGGCAUGAGAA
Trichonephila clavipes is the source of this 71-nucleotide non-coding RNA. The record is from the annotation of a GenBank genome assembly. NCBI's taxonomy places the organism in Eukaryota, Metazoa, Arthropoda, Arachnida, Araneae, Nephilidae.